CCGGCACGGGUGAGUAACACGUAUCCAACCUGCCGUCUACUCUUGGACAGCCUUCUGAAGGAAGAUUAAUACAAGAUGGCAUCAUAAGUCCGCAUGUUCACAUGAUUAAAGGUAUUCCGGUAGACGAUGGGGAUGCGUUCCAUUAGAUAGUAGGCGGGGUAACGGCCCACCUAGUCUUCGAUGGAUAGGGGUUCUGAGAGGAAGGUCCCCCACAUUGGAACUGAGACACGGUCCAA
RNAcentral lists this ribosomal RNA (236 nucleotides) under uncultured bacterium. Its description in RNAcentral is "partial 16S ribosomal RNA". It matches the Rfam family "Bacterial small subunit ribosomal RNA", at positions 100 to 334 of the family's 1533-position model. The record is from RNAcentral.